Puccinia sorghi is the source of this 85-nucleotide transfer RNA. It matches the Rfam family "tRNA". Rfam says of the family: Transfer RNA (tRNA) molecules are approximately 80 nucleotides in length. The record is from Rfam. NCBI's taxonomy places the organism in Eukaryota, Fungi, Basidiomycota, Pucciniomycetes, Pucciniales, Pucciniaceae.
CCUGUCAUCGUCUAGUGGUUAGGACACCAGGUUUUGAAACCCCGAGUGUGUCCUGGUAACCUGGGUUCGACUCCCAGUGACAGGU